RNAcentral lists this ribosomal RNA (301 nucleotides) under uncultured bacterium. RNAcentral's name for it is "partial 16S ribosomal RNA". It matches the Rfam family "Bacterial small subunit ribosomal RNA", at positions 509 to 807 of the family's 1533-position model. The record is from RNAcentral.
CAGUAGCCGCGGUAAUACGUAGGUGGCAAGCGUUGUCCGGAAUUAUUGGGCGUAAAGGGCUCGCAGGCGGUUUCUUAAGUCUGGUGUGAAAGCCCCCGGCUCAACCGGGGAGGGUCAUUGGAAACUGGGGAACUUGAGUGCAGAAGAGGAGAGUGGAAUUCCACGUGUAGCGGUGAAAUGCGUAGAGAUGUGGAGGAACACCAGUGGCGAAGGCGACUCUCUGGUCUGUAACUGACGCUGAGGAGCGAAAGCGUGGGGAGCGAACAGGAUUAGAUACCCCUGUAGUCCCUGUCUCUUAUAC